UACAGAGGUCUCAAGCGUUGUUCGGAUUCAUUGGGCGUAAAGGGUGCGUAGGCGGCGUGGUAAGUCGGGUGUGAAAUCUCGGAGCUUAACUCCGAAACUGCAUUCGAUACUGCCGUGCUUGAGGACUGGAGAGGAGACUGGAAUUUACGGUGUAGCGGUGAAAUGCGUAGAUAUCGUAAGGAAGACCAGUGGCGAAGGCGGGUCUCUGGACAGUUCCUGACGCUGAGGUGCGAAAGCCAGGGGAGCAAACAGG
This 253-nucleotide ribosomal RNA is filed under the name uncultured bacterium. Its description in RNAcentral is "partial 16S ribosomal RNA". It matches the Rfam family "Bacterial small subunit ribosomal RNA", at positions 524 to 776 of the family's 1533-position model. The record is from RNAcentral.